RNAcentral lists this transfer RNA (84 nucleotides) under Saprospiraceae bacterium. Its description in RNAcentral is "tRNA-Leu". It matches the Rfam family "tRNA". From Rfam's summary of the family: Transfer RNA (tRNA) molecules are approximately 80 nucleotides in length. Lineage: Bacteria; Pseudomonadati; Bacteroidota; Saprospiria; Saprospirales; Saprospiraceae. The record is from RNAcentral.
GCCGAAAUGGCGGAACUGGUAGACGCGCUGGACUCAAAAUCCAGUGACCUCAAAGUCGUGUGGGUUCGAGUCCCACUUUCGGUA